RNAcentral lists this ribosomal RNA (254 nucleotides) under uncultured bacterium. RNAcentral's name for it is "partial 16S ribosomal RNA". It matches the Rfam family "Bacterial small subunit ribosomal RNA", at positions 524 to 776 of the family's 1533-position model. The record is from RNAcentral.
UACGUAGGGUGCAAGCGUUGUCCGGAAUUAUUGGGCGUAAAGAGCUCGUAGGCGGUUUGUCGCGUCUGCUGUGAAAACGCGAGGCUCAACCUCGCGCCUGCAGUGGGUACGGGCAGACUAGAGUGCGGUAGGGGGAGAUUGGAAUUCCUGGUGUAGCGGUGAAAUGCGCAGAUAUCAGGAGGAACACCGGUGGCGAAGGCGGGUCUCUGGGCAGUAACUGACGCUGAGGAGCGAAAGCGUGGGGAGCGAACAGG